UACAGAGGGUGCAAGCGUUGUUCGGAAUUAUUGGGCGUAAAGGGCGCGUAGGCGGCCACCGCAAGUCGACUGUGAAAUCUCCGGGCUUAACCCGGAAAGGUCAGCCGAUACUGCGGGGCUAGAGUGCAGAAGGGGCAACUGGAAUUCUCGGUGUAGCGGUGAAAUGCGUAGAUAUCGAGAGGAACACCUGCGGCGAAGGCGGGUUGCUGGGCUGACACUGACGCUGAUGCGCGAAAGCUAGGGGAGCGAACGGG
RNAcentral lists this ribosomal RNA (254 nucleotides) under uncultured bacterium. Its description in RNAcentral is "partial 16S ribosomal RNA". It matches the Rfam family "Bacterial small subunit ribosomal RNA", at positions 524 to 776 of the family's 1533-position model. The record is from RNAcentral.